GGGUUGUGAGGUUAAGCGACUAAGCGUACACGGUGGAUGCCCUGGCAGUCAGAGGCGAUGAAGGACGUGCUAAUCUGCGAAAAGCGUCGGUAAGGUGAUAUGAACCGUUAUANNNNNNNNNNNNNNNNNNNNNNNNNNNNNNNNNNNNNNNNNCACUAUCGUUAACUGAAUACAUAGGUUAACGAGGCGAACCGGGGGAACUGAAACAUCUAAGUACCCCGAGGAAAAGAAAUCAACCGAGAUUCCCCCAGUAGCGGCGAGCGAACGGGGAGCAGCCCAGAGUCUGAAUCAGCUUGUGUGUUAGUGGAACGGUCUGGAAAGUCCGACGGUACAGGGUGAUAGUCCCGUACACCAAAAUGCACAGGUUGUGAACUCGAAGAGUAGGGCGGGACACGUGGUAUCCUGUCUGAAUAUGGGGGGACCAUCCUCCAAGGCUAAAUACUCCUGACUGACCGAUAGUGAACCAGUACCGUGAGGGAAAGGCGAAAAGAACCCCGGCGAGGGGAGUGAAAAAGAACCUGAAACCGUGUACGUACAAGCAGUGGGAGCACCUUCGGGUGUGACUGCGUACCUUUUGUAUAAUGGGUCAGCGACUUAUAUUCUGUAGCAAGGUUAACCGUAUAGGGGAGCCGCAGGGAAACCGAGUCUUAACUGGGCGUUAAGUUGCAGGGUAUAGACCCGAAACCCGGUGAUCUAGCCAUGGGCAGGUUGAAGGUUGGGUAACACUAACUGGAGGACCGAACCGACUAAUGUUGAAAAAUUAGCGGAUGACUUGUGGCUGGGGGUGAAAGGCCAAUCAAACCGGGAGAUAGCUGGUUCUCCCCGAAAGCUAUUUAGGUAGCGCCUCGUGAAUUCAUCUUCGGGGGUAGAGCACUGUUUCGGCUAGGGGGUCAUCCCGACUUACCAACCCGAUGCAAACUACGAAUACCGAAGAAUGUUAUCACGGGAGACACACGGCGGGUGCUAACGUCCGUCGUGAAGAGGGAAACAACCCAGACCGCCAGCUAAGGUCCCAAAGUCAUGGUUAAGUGGGAAACGAUGUGGGAAGGCACAGACAGCCAGGAUGUUGGCUUAGAAGCAGCCAUCAUUUAAAGAAAGCGUAAUAGCUCACUGGUCGAGUCGGCCUGCGCGGAAGAUGUAACGGGGCUAAACCAUGCACCGAAGCUGCGGCAGCGACACGAUGUGUUGUUGGGUAGGGGAGCGUUCUGUAAGCCUGCGAAGGUGUGCUGUGAGGCAUGCUGGAGGUAUCAGAAGUGCGAAUGCUGACAUAAGUAACGAUAAAGCGGGUGAAAAGCCCGCUCGCCGGAAGACCAAGGGUUCCUGUCCAACGUUAAUCGGGGCAGGGUGAGUCGACCCCUAAGGCGAGGCCGAAAGGCGUAGUCGAUGGGAAACAGGUUAAUAUUCCUGUACUUGGUGUUACUGCGAAGGGGGGACGGAGAAGGCUAUGUUAGCCGGGCGACGGUUGUCCCGGUUUAAGCAUGUAGGCUGGUUAUCCAGGCAAAUCCGGAUAAUCAAGGCUGAGGUGUGAUGACGAGGCACUACGGUGCUGAAGUAACAAAUGCCCUGCUUCCAGGAAAAGCCUCUAAGCAUCAGGUAACAUCAAAUCGUACCCCAAACCGACACAGGUGGUCAGGUAGAGAAUACCAAGGCGCUUGAGAGAACUCGGGUGAAGGAACUAGGCAAAAUGGUGCCGUAACUUCGGGAGAAGGCACGCUGGUGUGUAGGUGAAGUCCCUGCGGAUGGAGCUGAGACCAGUCGAAGAUACCAGCUGGCUGCAACUGUUUAUUAAAAACACAGCACUGUGCAAACACGAAAGUGGACGUAUACGGUGUGACGCCUGCCCGGUGCCGGAAGGUUAAUUGAUGGGGUUAUCCGUAAGGAGAAGCUCUUGAUCGAAGCCCCGGUAAACGGCGGCCGUAACUAUAACGGUCCUAAGGUAGCGAAAUUCCUUGUCGGGUAAGUUCCGACCUGCACGAAUGGCGUAAUGAUGGCCAGGCUGUCUCCACCCGAGACUCAGUGAAAUUGAACUCGCUGUGAAGAUGCAGUGUACCCGCGGCAAGACGGAAAGACCCCGUGAACCUUUACUAUAGCUUGACACUGAACAUUGAGCCUUGAUGUGUAGGAUAGGUGGGAGGCUUUGAAGCGUGGACGCCAGUCUGCGUGGAGCCAACCUUGAAAUACCACCCUUUAAUGUUUGAUGUUCUAACGUUGGCCCCUGACCGGGGUUGCGGACAGUGUCUGGUGGGUAGUUUGACUGGGGCGGUCUCCUCCCAAAGCGUAACGGAGGAGCACGAAGGUUAGCUAAUCCUGGUCGGACAUCAGGAGGUUAGUGCAAUGGCAUAAGCUAGCUUGACUGCGAGCGUGACGGCGCGAGCAGGUGCGAAAGCAGGUCAUAGUGAUCCGGUGGUUCUGAAUGGAAGGGCCAUCGCUCAACGGAUAAAAGGUACUCCGGGGAUAACAGGCUGAUACCGCCCAAGAGUUCAUAUCGACGGCGGUGUUUGGCACCUCGAUGUCGGCUCAUCACAUCCUGGGGCUGAAGUAGGUCCCAAGGGUAUGGCUGUUCGCCAUUUAAAGUGGUACGCGAGCUGGGUUUAGAACGUCGUGAGACAGUUCGGUCCCUAUCUGCCGUGGGCGCUGGAGAAUUGAGGGGGGCUGCUCCUAGUACGAGAGGACCGGAGUGGACGCAUCACUGGUGUUCGGGUUGUCAUGCCAAUGGCACUGCCCGGUAGCUAAAUGCGGAAGAGAUAAGUGCUGAAAGCAUCUAAGCACGAAACUUGCCCCGAGAUGAGUUCUCCCUGAGACUUUAAGUCUCCUGAAGGAACGUUAAAGACGAUGACGUUGAUAGGCCGGGUGUGUAAGCGCAGCGAUGCGUUGAGCUAACCGGUACUAAUGAACCGUGAGGCUUAACCUUACAACGCCGAAG
RNAcentral lists this ribosomal RNA (2923 nucleotides) under Klebsiella pneumoniae. RNAcentral describes it as "bacterial LSU rRNA". It matches the Rfam family "Bacterial large subunit ribosomal RNA". Lineage: Bacteria; Pseudomonadati; Pseudomonadota; Gammaproteobacteria; Enterobacterales; Enterobacteriaceae. The record is from RNAcentral.